AGAGUUUGAUCCUGGCUCAGGAUGAACGCUGGCUACAGGCUUAACACAUGCAAGUCGAGGGGCAGCAUGUUGGUUGCUUGCAACCAAUGAUGGCGACCGGCGCACGGGUGAGUAACGCGUAUCCAACCUACCCUUGUCCAUCGGAUAACCCGUCGAAAGGCGGCCUAACACGAUAUGCGGUUCUCAGCAGGCAUCUAACGAGAACGAAAUGUGAAGGAGAAGGAUGGGGAUGCGUCUGAUUAGCUUGUUGGCGGGUAACGGCCACAAGGCUACGAUCAGUAGGGUUCUGAGAGGAAGGUCCCCCAGAUUGGAACUGAGACACGGUCCAAACUCCUAGGGAGCA
RNAcentral lists this ribosomal RNA (343 nucleotides) under uncultured bacterium. Its description in RNAcentral is "bacterial SSU rRNA". It matches the Rfam family "Bacterial small subunit ribosomal RNA", at positions 8 to 349 of the family's 1533-position model. The record is from RNAcentral.